UCCCGGUUAACCCGGGCAGUCUCGUUAGAGUUCCCAGCAUUACCUGUUGGCAACUAACGACAAGGGUUGCGCUCGUUGCGGGACUUAACCCAACACCUCACGGCACGAGCUGACGACAGCCAUGCAGCACCUGUGCAGCGGUCCCGAAGGAAAACAGCAUUUCUGCUGCCGUCCGCUGCAUGUCAAGUCUAGGUAAGGUUCUUCGCGUUGCAUCGAAUUAAACCACAUGCUCCACUGCUUGUGCGGGUCCCCGUCAAUUCUUUUGAGUUUCACCCUUGCGAGCGUACUCCCCAGGCGGUGUACUUAACGCGUUAGCUACGGCACAGCCGGGGUUGAGACCGGCUACACCAAGUACACAUCGUUUACGGCUAGGACUAC
This 378-nucleotide unclassified non-coding RNA is filed under the name uncultured Chlamydiales bacterium. Its description in RNAcentral is "contains 16S-23S intergenic spacer region". Lineage: Bacteria; Pseudomonadati; Chlamydiota; Chlamydiia; Chlamydiales. The record is from RNAcentral.